This 449-nucleotide ribosomal RNA is filed under the name uncultured bacterium. Its description in RNAcentral is "partial 16S ribosomal RNA". It matches the Rfam family "Bacterial small subunit ribosomal RNA", at positions 29 to 523 of the family's 1533-position model. The record is from RNAcentral.
AACGAACGCUGGCGGCAGGCCUAACACAUGCAAGUCGAGCGAGACCUUCGGGUCUAGCGGCGGACGGGUGAGUAACGCGUGGGAAUAUGCCCUUUGGUACGGAAUAGCCUCGGGAAACUGAGAGUAAUACCGUAUGUGCCCUUCGGGGGAAAGAUUUAUCGCCAAAGGAUUAGCCCGCGUUGGAUUAGGUAGUUGGUGGGGUAAUGGCCUACCAGGCCUACGAUCCAUAGCUGGUUUGAGAGGAUGAUCAGCCACACUGGGACUGAGACACGGCCCAGACUCCUACGGGAGGCAGCAGUGGGGAAUCUUAGACAAUGGGGGCAACCCUGAUCUAGCCAUGCUGCGUGAGUGAUGAAGGCCUUAGGGUUGUAAAGCUCUUUCAGCUGGGAAGAUAAUGAUGGUACCAGCAGAAGAAGCCCCGGCUAACUCCGUGCCAGCAGCCGCGGUAA